GCUUGCUCCUUUGACGUUAGCGGCGGACGGGUGAGUAACACGUGGGCAACCUACCCUAUAGUUUGGGAUAACUCCGGGAAACCGGGGCUAAUACCGAAUAAUCUCUUUUGCUUCAUGGCGAAAGACUGAAAGACGGUUUCGGCUGUCGCUAUAGGAUGGGCCCGCGGCGCAUUAGCUAGUUGGUGAGGUAACGGCUCACCAAGGCGACGAUGCGUAGCCGACCUGAGAGGGUGAUCGGCCACACUGGGACUGAGACACGGCCCAGACUCCUACGGGAGGCAGCAGUAGGGAAUCUUCCACAAUGGGCGAAAGCCUGAUGGAGCAACGCCGCGUGAGUGAAGAAGGUUUUCGGAUCGUAAAACUCUGUUGUAAGGGAAGAACAAGUACAGUAGUAACUGGCUGUACCUUGACGGUACCUUAUUAAAAAGCCACGGCUAACUACGUGCCAGCAGCCGCGGUAAUACGUAGGUGGCAAGCGUUGUCCGGAAUUAUUGGGCGUAAAGCGCGCGCAGGCGGUCCUUUAAGUCUGAUGUGAAAGCCCACGGCUCAACCGUGGAGGGUCAUUGGAAACUGGGGGACUUGAGUGCAGAAGAGGAAAGUGGAAUUCCAAGUGUAGCGGUGAAAUGCGUAGAGAUUUGGAGGAACACCAGUGGCGAAGGCGACUUUCUGGUCUGUAACUGACGCUGAGGCGCGAAAGCGUGGGGAGCAAACAGGA
RNAcentral lists this ribosomal RNA (715 nucleotides) under Bacillus sp. (in: firmicutes). Its description in RNAcentral is "bacterial SSU rRNA". It matches the Rfam family "Bacterial small subunit ribosomal RNA", at positions 78 to 777 of the family's 1533-position model. The record is from RNAcentral. Lineage: Bacteria; Bacillati; Bacillota; Bacilli; Caryophanales; Bacillaceae.